UACGUAGGGAGCAAGCGUUGUCCGGAAUCAUUGGGCGUAAAGCGCGCGUAGGUGGCUUCGUAAGUCCGUUGUGAAAGUCAAAGGCUCAACCUUUGAAAGCCGAUGGAUACUGCGGAGCUAGAGUACGGAAGAGGCGAGUGGAAUUCCUGGUGUAGCGGUGGAAUGCGCAGAUAUCAGGAGGAACACCCGUGGCUAAGGCGGCUCUCUAGUACGGUACUGACGCUGAGACGCGAAAGCGUGGGGAGCGAACAGG
RNAcentral lists this ribosomal RNA (253 nucleotides) under uncultured bacterium. RNAcentral's name for it is "partial 16S ribosomal RNA". It matches the Rfam family "Bacterial small subunit ribosomal RNA", at positions 524 to 776 of the family's 1533-position model. The record is from RNAcentral.